Molecule: ribosomal RNA, 495 nt
Filed under: uncultured bacterium
Lineage: Bacteria
Description: partial 16S ribosomal RNA
Rfam family: Bacterial small subunit ribosomal RNA
Source: RNAcentral
GACGAACGCUGGCGGCGUGCCUAAUACAUGCAAGUAGAACGCUGAAGGAGGAGCUUGCUUCUCUGGAUGAGUUGCGAACGGGUGAGUAACGCGUAGGUAACCUGCCUGGUAGUGGGGGAUAACUAUUGGAAACGAUAGCUAAUACCGCAUAAUAGCAGUUGUUGCAUGAUAACUGUUUGAAAGGUGCAAUUGCACCACUACCAGAUGGACGUGCGUUGUAUUAGCUAGUUGGUGGGGUAACGGCUCACCAAGGCGACGAUACAUAGCCGACCUGAGAGGGUGAUCGGCCAAACCGGGAAUGAGACACGGCCCAGACUCCUACGGGAGGCAGCAGUAGGGAAUCUUCGGCAAUGGACGGAAGUCUGACCGAGCCACGCCGCGUGAGGGAAGAAAGUUUUCGGAUCGUAAAGCUCUGUUGUAAGAGAAGAACGAGUGUGAGAGUGGAAAGUUCACACUGUGACGGUAUCUUACCAGAAAGGGACGGCUAACUACGUG